UUAAGCAUAUCAAUAAGCGAGGAAAAGAAACCACCAGGGAUUGCCUCAGUAACGGCGAGUGAAGCGGCAACAGCUCAAAUUUGAAAGCUGGCUCUUGCAGAGCCCGCAUUGUAAUUUGUAGAGGAUGCUUCAGGUGCGGCGCUGGUCUAAGUUCUUUGGAACAAGACGUCAUAGAGGGUGAGAAUCCCGUAUGUGACUAGCUGCCUGGACCUAUGUGAAGCUCCUUCGACGAGUCGAGUUGUUUGGGAAUGCAGCUCAAAAUGGGUGGUGUACUUCAUCUAAAGCUAAAUAUUGGCCAGAGACCGAUAGCGCACAAGUAGAGUGAUCGAAAGAUGAAAAGCACUUUGGAAAGAGAGUUAAACAGUACGUGAAAUUGUUGAAAGGGAAGCGCUUGCAAUCAGACUUGCGCGGCGUCGAUCAACCUGGGUUCUCCCUGGUGCACUCGGCGCUGCUCAGGCCAGCAUCAGUUUCAGCGGUUGGAUAAAGGCCUAGGGAACGUGGGUUACUUCGGUGACUGUUAUAGCCCUAGGUGCAAUGCAGCCUGUUGGGACUGAGGACCGCGCUUCGGCUAGGAUGCUGGCCGUAAUGGUUGUAAGCGACCCGUCUUUGAAACACGGACCAAGGAGUCUAACAUCUAUGCGAGUUUUUGGGUGKUAAACCCAUAGCGUAAUGAAAGUGAACGGAGGUGAGAACCCCUUAAGGGUGCCAUCAUCGACCGAUCCUUGAUGUCUUCGGAUGGAUUUGAGUAAGAGCAUAGCUGUUGGGACCCGAAAGAUGGUGAUCUAUACUUGAAUAGGGUGAAGCCAGAGGAAACUCUGGUGGAGGCUCGCAGCGGUUCUGACGUGCAAAUCGAUCGUCAAAUUUGAGUAUAGGGGCGAAAGACUAAUCGAACCAUUGAGAACAGAAAACUUCGCUAUUAGGUGGUUGAGAGGCCCUGCAAGGCCUAGUCGCUUCGGCGGCAACACUGUAAAACUGCGGGGACAGCUCCCUAGACACAGGCUACUACAGCGGGCUCGAAAGGGCUCGCCACAGUCACAACGCCUGGCGUCUGAGCCGAUCCGCACCCUCUGCCUACGGCCCCCUACCCGGUGGUGCUAUGGCGCAGGCCCAUCGACUAGAUGACAGUGGGUGCUCACAGCGCCUAAGGUAUAGUCAGACUGCAGCGGCACGCUGCAGGUGAAUCGCUAGUAGCUGGUUCACGCCGAAGUUU
This 1210-nucleotide ribosomal RNA is filed under the name Spathularia flavida. Its description in RNAcentral is "eukaryotic LSU rRNA". It matches the Rfam family "Eukaryotic large subunit ribosomal RNA", at positions 34 to 1108 of the family's 3401-position model. The record is from RNAcentral. Lineage: Eukaryota; Fungi; Ascomycota; Leotiomycetes; Rhytismatales; Cudoniaceae.